RNAcentral lists this ribosomal RNA (253 nucleotides) under uncultured bacterium. RNAcentral's name for it is "partial 16S ribosomal RNA". It matches the Rfam family "Bacterial small subunit ribosomal RNA", at positions 524 to 776 of the family's 1533-position model. The record is from RNAcentral.
UACGGGGGGGGCAAGCGUUGUUCGGAAUUACUGGGCGUAAAGGGCUCGUAGGUGGCCAACUAAGUCAGACGUGAAAUCCCUCGGCUUAACCGGGGAACUGCGUCUGAUACUGGAUGGCUUGAGUUCGGGAGAGGGAUGCGGAAUUCCGGGUGUAGCGGUGAAAUGCGUAGAUAUCUGGAGGAACACCGGUGGCGAAGGCGGCAUCCUGGACCGACACUGACGCUGAGGAGCGAAAGCCAGGGGAGCAAACGGG